This 222-nucleotide long non-coding RNA is filed under the name Elaeis guineensis (African oil palm). RNAcentral's name for it is "long non-coding RNA (EGUI_LNC051094)". The record is from RNAcentral. Lineage: Eukaryota; Viridiplantae; Streptophyta; Magnoliopsida; Arecales; Arecaceae.
UUAUCUGGCCAAUUAGAUGAUUGGGUUCAUUAAUUACUAAGAAGUUUUAGUUUAACCCAUACUAAUUAGAUCGAUCAUGUGAUGAUUGGUUAGAUGGGACCUUACCUAAACCUCCUUAGUUAAUAUUAAGCCUUAUGAUCUUCCACCAUUGUAAAAGUAUGGGUGUGGUACUGAUGUUGAUUGUUCUCGACUGGUUACAGUGGUUCAGUUGCAUCGAAAAUA